GUAGGUGGCAAGCGUUGUCCGGAAUUAUUGGGGCGUAAAGCGCGCGCAGGCGGUUCUUUAAGUCUGAUGUGAAAGCCCACGGGCUCAACCGUGGAGGGUCAUUGGAAACUGGAGAACUUGAGUACAGAAGAGGAAAGCGGAAUUCCACGUGUAGCGGUGAAAUGCGUAGUGAUGUGGAGGAACACCAGUGGCGAAGGCGGCUUUCUGGUCUGUAACUGACGCUGAGGCGCGAAAGCGUGGGGAGCAAACAGGAUUAGAUACCCUGGUAGUCCACGCCGUAAACGAUGAGUGCUAAGUGUUAGGGGGUUUCCGCCCCUUAGUGCUGCAGCUAACGCAUUAAGCACUCCGCCUGGGGAGUACGGCCGCAAAGGCUG
RNAcentral lists this ribosomal RNA (374 nucleotides) under uncultured organism. RNAcentral's name for it is "partial 16S ribosomal RNA". It matches the Rfam family "Bacterial small subunit ribosomal RNA", at positions 527 to 896 of the family's 1533-position model. The record is from RNAcentral.